GAGAGCUGGCCGGCGCCGACCCGGCCUGGGGCAGCGGCCGCAGCUCCCCGCCCGGGACCGCGCAAAAAGGCCCAAGGUCCCGGGCCGCACUCACCGAAGUCCAGGAACUGCUUCAUGGAGAGCGGGGACGGCGAGAAGCGCGCGUAGAAGUCCACCUGGCCCGGAACGCCGCGCUCGGACGCCGGGCUGGAGCCCGAGUCCGAGCUGAAGCUGCGGCUGAAGCCGGCGGCGCGCAGCCCCGGGCCCGGGCCGGCCAAGGCGGCUCCGCGAAGCAGCCGCGCCAGCCUCAUGCCGAGUCCCGCUAGAGAAGCCACAGCCAGUACGCCAGGUUUCCCCGCGCCUCUGCCGAGUGGGUUGAAGGCAAAUACUUGAAGUUGCAAUCGAAGGUCAAGAAAAUGGAAUCAAGAGGUCACAAUCCUUCUCUGAUGAUGGCUUAGAAAGCUGGAAGACACUCAACAUUGAAUCCUGGGGCUCUGUGCCAUGCUUGCUAGGAGAAACAGCCACCAUGAGUCCAUCUUUCAGAUCUCAAGUGAACAGGGAAGAGAUUACUGCGUUCAGCACAGGGACAUCUACAAAGAAGGGAAGAAGAAACAGGGACAGACCAGUGAAGCAAUAGAAUAGUUACGUGGUUGUCAUUCUCCAGCUGGGAUUGAGAACAAGGGGAAGCUGGCCAUAGAGCCAGGUGACCAAAGAUGGAAGACAAAGGGUGGGCUGUGAUUCCCAGAGCUCCAAGCCUUGUUCUGUCUUGUCACACCAACUGUUACUGAUGAACAGCAUGUGAGAACUUUUGGCUGAUGAAUACAAGAUACGCUCAUUCAUUCUCUUCAUUGCUAUGAAAUGAGUUUUUCCACAACCUCCUGCAGAACCUCAACACAUCACUAGGUGGCAACAUCCCUACACCAUAUCGGUUUAGAAACCACGGUUAGGAGGAGCAGCAAAACACGCGGCAUCCCAGUAUGAUUCAGAAGUAAAGUUUACAAUCUUUGAGGCCUGGCUGACUCAUGGAACAACUAGGACAAGAAACAAAGACAAAGAACACACACCUGACUGGACAGAGAUAAACCAAGAGCUGAGAGUUUUGGAAACAAGGCUGGAGCUGAGGAAAAGGACUGGGAACACGAACCUGUACAAACAACAAAUUCUUACAACAGAAAACAAGCCACUCCUGGCCAUCAAGAAACCCACAAAUCUCAGAAGCAAAAGCAAAACAAAUGAAAAUACAAACCAAAUAGUCUCUAUUACCUUCAUGCCUGUUGGGUCCCAAUAAAGGAAUCAUUCCAAUAAAGGAUUCAACAUAUUUUUUUUAAACCAAUAUCAU
Molecule: long non-coding RNA, 1318 nt
Filed under: Homo sapiens (human)
Lineage: Eukaryota; Metazoa; Chordata; Mammalia; Primates; Hominidae
Description: non-protein coding lnc-DLX2-4:9
Source: RNAcentral